This 517-nucleotide ribosomal RNA is filed under the name uncultured bacterium. RNAcentral describes it as "bacterial SSU rRNA". It matches the Rfam family "Bacterial small subunit ribosomal RNA", at positions 355 to 889 of the family's 1533-position model. The record is from RNAcentral.
UGGGGAAUAUUGGACAAUGGGCGCAAGCCUGAUCCAGCAAUGCCGCGUGGGUGAAGAAGGUCUUCGGAUUGUAAAGCCCUUUCGGCGGGGACGAUGGUGACGGUACCCGCAGAAGAAGCCCCGGCUAACUUCGUGCCAGCAGCCGCGGUAAUACGAAGGGGGCUAGCGUUGCUCGGAAUGACUGGGCGUAAAGGGCGCGUAGGCGGCCCGCGCAGUCAGGCGUGAAAUCCCCGGGCUCAACCUGGGGGCGGCGCUUGCGACGCGCGGGCUGGAGUGCGGGAGAGGGCCGUGGAAUUCCCAGUGUAGAGGUGAAAUUCGUAGAUAUUGGGAAGAACACCGGUGGCGAAGGCGGCGGCCUGGCCCGCGACUGACGCUGAGGCGCGAAAGCGUGGGGAGCAAACAGGAUUAGAUACCCUGGUAGUCCACGCCGUAAACGAUGUGCGCUGGAUGUUGGGCGGCCUAGCCGCGCAGUGUCGCAGCUAACGCGAUAAGCGCACCGCCUGGGGAGUACGGCCGC